UUCUAAUAAAUUAUGUUUUUAUCAGAUAUGACAGAAUCUUUUUUAAAAUCUCUUCAAUAUGCUUUUAUUGCUUUUGAGAGGUUUUGUUACUUUGAGUAAAAUUAAGUGUUCAUUGGAUGAAAGUGUUAAAAAUAAAAGUCAUCUUUCUAGGUGACUUUUAGAUUGUUGCUUCCUUCAGUACCUUAUGAGAAAUCA
RNAcentral lists this ribosomal RNA (195 nucleotides) under Plasmodium falciparum (malaria parasite P. falciparum). RNAcentral describes it as "partial 18S rRNA". Lineage: Eukaryota; Apicomplexa; Aconoidasida; Haemosporida; Plasmodiidae. The record is from RNAcentral.